RNAcentral lists this ribosomal RNA (505 nucleotides) under uncultured bacterium. Its description in RNAcentral is "bacterial SSU rRNA". It matches the Rfam family "Bacterial small subunit ribosomal RNA", at positions 15 to 507 of the family's 1533-position model. The record is from RNAcentral.
GAUCAUGGCUCAGGAUGAACGCUAGCUACAGGCUUAACACAUGCAAGUCGAGGGGCAGCAUUUUAGUUUGCUUGCAAACUAAAGAUGGCGACCGGCGCACGGGUGAGUAACACGUAUCCAACCUGCCGAUAACUCGGGGAUAGCCUUUCGAAAGAAAGAUUAAUAUCCGAUAGUAUAUUAAAAACCGCAUGGUUUUACUAUUAAAGAAUUUCGGUUAUCGAUGGGGAUGCGUUCCAUUAGUUUGUUGGCGGGGUAACGGCCCACCAAGACUACGAUGGAUAGGGGUUCUGAGAGGAAGGUCCCCCACAUUGGAACUGAGACACGGUCCAAACUCCUACGGGAGGCAGCAGUGAGGAAUAUUGGUCAAUGGACGAGAGUCUGAACCAGCCAAGUAGCGUGAAGGAUGACUGCCCUAUGGGUUGUAAACUUCUUUUAUAUGGGAAUAAAGUAUUCCACGUGUGGGAUUUUGUAUGUACCAUAUGAAUAAGGAUCGGCUAACUCCGUG